RNAcentral lists this ribosomal RNA (497 nucleotides) under uncultured bacterium. RNAcentral's name for it is "partial 16S ribosomal RNA". It matches the Rfam family "Bacterial small subunit ribosomal RNA", at positions 28 to 507 of the family's 1533-position model. The record is from RNAcentral.
GAUGAACGCUGGCGGCGUGCCUAAUACAUGCAAGUCGAGCGAACGGACGAGAAGCUUGCUUCUCUGAUGUUAGCGGCGGACGGGUGAGUAACACGUGGAUAACCUACCUAUAAGACUGGGAUAACUUCGGGAAACCGGAGCUAAUACCGGAUAAUAUUUUGAACCGCAUGGUUCAAAAGUGAAAGACGGUCUUGCUGUCACUUAUAGAUGGAUCCGCGCUGCAUUAGCUAGUUGGUAAGGUAACGGCUUACCAAGGCAACGAUGCAUAGCCGACCUGAGAGGGUGAUCGGCCACACUGGAACUGAGACACGGUCCAGACUCCUACGGGAGGCAGCAGUAGGGAAUCUUGCGCAAUGGGCGAAAGCCUGACGGAGCAACGCCGCGUGAGUGAUGAAGGUCUUCGGAUCGUAAAACUCUGUUAUUAGGGAAGAACAUAUGUGUAAGUAACUGUGCACAUCUUGACGGUACCUAAACAGAAAGCCACGGCUAACUACGUG